UAGGGAAUAUUGCAAAAUGGGCGAAAGCCCGAUGCAGCAACGCCGCGUGGGCGAUGAAGGCCUUCGGGUCGUAAAGCCCUUUUUGAGGGGAUGAGGAAGGACAGUACCCUCAGAAUAAGCCUCGGCUAACUACGUGCCAGCAGCCGCGGUAAAACGUAGGAGGCGAGCGUUAUCCGGAUUUACUGGGCGUAAAGCGCGUGCAGGCGGAUUGGAGAGUUGGAUGUGAAAGCUCCCGGCUUAACUGGGAGAGGUCGUUCAAUACUUCCAUUCUUGAGUGCAGUAGAGGGAAGUGGAAUUCCGGGUGUAGUGGUGAAAUGCGUAGAUAUCCGGAGGAACACCAGUGGCGAAAGCGGCUUCCUGGACUGUAACUGACGCUCAGACGCGAAAGCUAGGGUAGCAAACG
RNAcentral lists this ribosomal RNA (403 nucleotides) under uncultured bacterium. RNAcentral describes it as "bacterial SSU rRNA". It matches the Rfam family "Bacterial small subunit ribosomal RNA", at positions 355 to 774 of the family's 1533-position model. The record is from RNAcentral.